Molecule: ribosomal RNA, 500 nt
Filed under: uncultured bacterium
Lineage: Bacteria
Description: partial 16S ribosomal RNA
Rfam family: Bacterial small subunit ribosomal RNA
Source: RNAcentral
AUUGAACGCUGGCGGCAUGCCUUACACAUGCAAGUCGAACGGCAGCGCGGACUUCGGUCUGGUGGCGAGUGGCGAACGGGUGAGUAAUACAUCGGAACGUACCCUGUUGUGGGGGAUAACUAGUCGAAAGAUUAGCUAAUACCGCAUACGACCUGAGGGUGAAAGUGGGGGGCCGCAAGGCCUCACGCAGCAGGAGCGGCCGAUGUCUGAUUAGCUAGUUGGUGGGGUAAAGGCCCACCAAGGCGACGAGCAGUAGCUGGUCUGCGAGGACGAGCAGCCACACUGGGACUGAGACACGGCCCAGACUCCUACGGGCGGCAGCAGUAGGAAAUUUUGGACAAUGGGGGCAACCCUGAUCCAGCAAUGCCGCGUGUGUGAAGAAGGCCUUCGGGUUGUAAAGCACUUUUGUCCGGAAAGAAAUCGCGCUGGUUAAUACCUGGCGUGGAUGACGGUACCGGAAGAAUAAGCACCGGCUAACUACGUGCCAGCAGCCGCCGUAA